UACAGAGGUCUCGAGCGUUGUUCGGAUUUAUUGGGCGUAAAGGGCGCGUAGGCUGCGGGGUAAGUCAGGUGUGAAAUCUCAGAGCUCAACUCUGAAAUUGCACUUGAUACUGCUCUGCUAGAGGACUGGAGAGGAGAUUGGAAUUCACGGUGUAGCAGUGAAAUGCGUUGAUAUCGACCGGAACUCCGGUGGCGAAGGCGAGGCGCUGGACCCUUUCUGACGCUGAGGCGCGAAAGCCAGGGGAGCAAACGGG
RNAcentral lists this ribosomal RNA (253 nucleotides) under uncultured bacterium. RNAcentral describes it as "partial 16S ribosomal RNA". It matches the Rfam family "Bacterial small subunit ribosomal RNA", at positions 524 to 776 of the family's 1533-position model. The record is from RNAcentral.